Molecule: small nuclear RNA, 105 nt
Organism: Rattus norvegicus (Norway rat)
Lineage: Eukaryota; Metazoa; Chordata; Mammalia; Rodentia; Muridae
Source: Ensembl
GUUCAGCUAAAUUGACAUAACAUCAAAUGGCUCUCUAAAUAUUUACGUUCAGCAUGGCCCCUGCGCAAGGAUGACACACAAAUUCGUGAAGCGUUCCAUAUAUAU